GGGGAAUAUUGCCCAAUGGGCGAAAACCUGAGGCAACAACGCCGCGGGAGGGAUGACGGCCUUCGGGUUGUAAACCUUUUUUAGUAGGGAAGAAGCGAAAGUGACGGUACCUGCAGAAAAAGCACCGGCUAACUACGUGCCAGCAGCCGCGGUAAUACGUAGGGUGCAAGCGUUGUCCGGAAUUAUUGGGCGUAAAGAGCUCGUAGGCGGUUUGUCGCGUCUGCUGUGAAAUCCCGAGGCUCAACCUCGGGCUUGCAGUGGGUACGGGCAGACUAGAGUGCGGUAGGGGAGAUUGGAAUUCCUGGUGUAGCGGUGGAAUGCGCAGAUAUCAGGAGGAACACCGAUGGCGAAGGCAGAUCUCUGGGCCGUAACUGACGCUGAGGAGCGAAAGCAUGGGGAGCGAACAGGAUUAGAUACCCUGGUAGUCCAUGCCGUAAACGUUGGGCGCUAGAUGUAGGGACCUUUCCACGGUUUCUGUGUCGUAGCUAACGCAUUAAGCGCCCCGCCUGGGGAGUACGGCCGCAAGGCUAAAACUCAAAGGAAUUGACGGGGGCCCGCACAAGCGGCGGAGCAUGCGGAUUAAUUCGAUGCAACGCGAAGAACCUUACCAAGGCUUGACAUACACCGGAAACGGCCAGAGAUGGUCGCCCCCUUGUGGUCGGUGUACAGGUGGUGCAUGGUUGUCGUCAGCUCGUGUCGUGAGAUGUUGGGUUAAGUCCCGCAACGAGCGCAACCCUCGUUCUAUGUUGCCAGCGGGUUAUGCCGGGGACUCAUAGGAGACUGCCGGGGUCAACUCGGAGGAAGGUGGGGAUGACGUCAAAUCAUCAUGCCCCUUAUGUCUUGGGCUUCACGCAUGCUACAAUGGCCGGUACAAAGGGCUGCGAUACCGUAAGGUGGAGCGAAUCCCAAAAAGCCGGUCUCAGUUCGGAUUGAGGUCUGCAACUCGACCUCAUGAAGUCGGAGUCGCUAGUAAUCGCAGAUCAGCAACGCUGCGGUGAAUACGUUCCCGGGCCUUGUACACACCGCCCGUCAAGUCAUGAAAGUCGGUAACACCCGAAGCCGGUGGCCUAACCCUUGUGGAAGGAGCCGUCG
Molecule: ribosomal RNA, 1092 nt
Filed under: Curtobacterium flaccumfaciens
Lineage: Bacteria; Bacillati; Actinomycetota; Actinomycetes; Micrococcales; Microbacteriaceae
Description: bacterial SSU rRNA
Rfam family: Bacterial small subunit ribosomal RNA
Source: RNAcentral